This 97-nucleotide ribosomal RNA is filed under the name uncultured eukaryote. RNAcentral's name for it is "partial small subunit ribosomal RNA". The record is from RNAcentral.
UGCCGGAACCCUCACGGGACCAAGCGGCCGAAGGCAAGCGUCGUGACUGGGGCGAAGUUGUAACAAGGUAGCCGUAGGUGAACCUGCAGAAGGAUCA